RNAcentral lists this small RNA (196 nucleotides) under Pan troglodytes (chimpanzee). RNAcentral describes it as "processed transcript". Lineage: Eukaryota; Metazoa; Chordata; Mammalia; Primates; Hominidae. The record is from RNAcentral.
CCCUUCUUCCUCCUUGAAGCUUUCAAUUUUAGGCCAUGACACUCACUCUCUUUCCUCUCUCCUGGACAGAUGAUGUUCUGCCAAUCUAUGCUUAUGGCCAUGCAGUGGGGAAGUCAGUCACUGGAGGUUAUGUCUACCGUGGUUGUGAAUCCCCAAAUCUCAAUGGCCUGUAUAUCUUUGGAGACUUCAUGAGUGG